AGUGAACGUUGGCGGCGUGGAUUAGGCAUGCGAGUCGAGCGAGAACCGUAGCAAUACGGGGACAGCGGCGAAAGGGACAGUAAUAUGUAGGUACCUACCCUCGGGUCCGGGAUAGCUGCGGGAAACUGCAGGUAAUACCGGAUGACAUCUCCGGAUCAAAGGUGUGAUUCCGCCCGGGGAGGGGCCUGCAUCCUAUUAGCUUGUUGGUGGGGUAACGGCCUACCAAGGCGACGAUGGGUAGCGGGUGUGAGAGCAUGACCCUCGUCAUUGGGACUGGGACACUGCCCCGACACCUACGGGUGGCUGCGGUCGAGAAUCUUCGGCAAUGGGCGCAAGCCUGACCGAGCGACGCCGCGUGCGGGAUGAAGGCCUUCGGGUUGUAAACCGCUGUCAGUGUGGAGGAAAUUCCUAGGGGUAAUCUCCUAGGAUUGACCUAUACGCAGAGGAAGGAUGGGCUAAGUUCGUGCCAGCCGCCGCAGUAA
This 482-nucleotide ribosomal RNA is filed under the name uncultured bacterium. RNAcentral describes it as "partial 16S ribosomal RNA". It matches the Rfam family "Bacterial small subunit ribosomal RNA", at positions 28 to 523 of the family's 1533-position model. The record is from RNAcentral.